Molecule: ribosomal RNA, 1069 nt
Filed under: Vreelandella alkaliphila
Lineage: Bacteria; Pseudomonadati; Pseudomonadota; Gammaproteobacteria; Oceanospirillales; Halomonadaceae
Description: bacterial SSU rRNA
Rfam family: Bacterial small subunit ribosomal RNA
Source: RNAcentral
GCAGUGGCGGGCAGCUACACAUGCAGUCGAGCGGUAACAGGGGUAGCUUGCUACCCGCUGACGAGCGGCGGACGGGUGAGUAAUGCAUAGGAAUCUGCCCGAUAGUGGGGGAUAACCUGGGGAAACCCAGGCUAAUACCGCAUACGUCCUACGGGAGAAAGGGGGCUCCGGCUCCCGCUAUUGGAUGAGCCUAUGUCGGAUUAGCUAGUUGGUGAGGUAAUGGCUCACCAAGGCAACGAUCCGUAGCUGGUCUGAGAGGAUGAUCAGCCACAUCGGGACUGAGACACGGCCCGAACUCCUACGGGAGGCAGCAGUGGGGAAUAUUGGACAAUGGGCGAAAGCCUGAUCCAGCCAUGCCGCGUGUGUGAAGAAGGCCCUCGGGUUGUAAAGCACUUUCAGCGAGGAAGAACGCCUAGUGGUUAAUACCCAUUAGGAAAGACAUCACUCGCAGAAGAAGCACCGGCUAACUCCGUGCCAGCAGCCGCGGUAAUACGGAGGGUGCAAGCGUUAAUCGGAAUUACUGGGCGUAAAGCGCGCGUAGGUGGCUUGAUAAGCCGGUUGUGAAAGCCCCGGGCUCAACCUGGGAACGGCAUCCGGAACUGUCAAGCUAGAGUGCAGGAGAGGAAGGUAGAAUUCCCGGUGUAGCGGUGAAAUGCGUAGAGAUCGGGAGGAAUACCAGUGGCGAAGGCGGCCUUCUGGACUGACACUGACACUGAGGUGCGAAAGCGUGGGUAGCAAACAGGAUUAGAUACCCUGGUAGUCCACGCCGUAAACGAUGUCGACCAGCCGUUGGGUGCCUAGCGCACUUUGUGGCGAAGUUAACGCGAUAAGUCGACCGCCUGGGGAGUACGGCCGCAAGGUUAAAACUCAAAUGAAUUGACGGGGGCCCGCACAAGCGGUGGAGCAUGUGGUUUAAUUCGAUGCAACGCGAAGAACCUUACCUACUCUUGACAUCCUGCGAACUUGUGAGAGAUCACUUGGUGCCUUCGGGAACGCAGAGACAGGUGCUGCAUGGCUGUCGUCAGCUCGUGUUGUGAAAUGGUUGGGUUAAGUCCCGUAACGAGCGCAA